GUGGUAAUACCGGAUGCUCCGCUCCAUCGCAUGGUGGGGUGGGAAAUGCUUUUGCGGCAUGGGAUGGGGUCGCGUCCUAUCAGCUUGUUGGCGGGGUGAUGGCCCACCAAGGCGUUGACGGGUAGCCGGCCUGAGAGGGUGACCGGCCACAUUGGGACUGAGAUACGGCCCAGACUCCUACGGGAGGCAGCAGUGGGGAAUAUUGCACAAUGGGCGCAAGCCUGAUGCAGCGACGCCGCGUGCGGGAUGGAGGCCUUCGGGUUGUAAACCGCUUUUGUUCAAGGGCAAGGCACGGUUUCGGCCGUGUUGAGUGGAUUGUUCGAAUAAGCACCGGCUAACUACGUGCCAGCAGCCGCGGUAAUACGUAGGGUGCGAGCGUUAUCCGGAUUUAUUGGGCGUAAAGGGCUCGUAGGCGGUUCGUCGCGUCCGGUGUGAAAGUCCAUCGCCUAACGGUGGAUCUGCGCCGGGUACGGGCGGGCUGGAGUGCGGUAGGGGAGACUGGAAUUCCCGGUGUAACGGUGGAAUGUGUAGAUA
Molecule: ribosomal RNA, 534 nt
Filed under: Bifidobacterium animalis subsp. lactis
Lineage: Bacteria; Bacillati; Actinomycetota; Actinomycetes; Bifidobacteriales; Bifidobacteriaceae
Description: bacterial SSU rRNA
Rfam family: Bacterial small subunit ribosomal RNA
Source: RNAcentral